UGUAGCACCCCUCCGGGAGGGAUGAGAAUCCUCGACCGAGGGUUCGACAACGGGCGACAGCCAGUUGGACAGACCAUGAACGCAGUGAAUGGGCUGCCCGCAGGGCGAGCGCAGCGAGUCAAUCCCUCCCUCACCGCCA
Leclercia adecarboxylata is the source of this 139-nucleotide non-coding RNA. Lineage: Bacteria; Pseudomonadati; Pseudomonadota; Gammaproteobacteria; Enterobacterales; Enterobacteriaceae. The record is from Rfam.